This 57-nucleotide ribosomal RNA is filed under the name uncultured fungus. RNAcentral describes it as "partial 28S ribosomal RNA". The record is from RNAcentral. Lineage: Eukaryota; Fungi.
UUGACCUCGGAUCAGGUAGGGCUACCCGCUGACUUUCGCAUAUCAAUAAGCGGAGGA